Molecule: ribosomal RNA, 372 nt
Filed under: uncultured organism
Description: bacterial SSU rRNA
Rfam family: Bacterial small subunit ribosomal RNA
Source: RNAcentral
CGAAGGGUGCAAGCGUUACUCGGAAUUACUGGGCGUAAAGCGUGCGUAGGUGGUUCGUUAAGUCUGAUGUGAAAGCCCUGGGCUCAACCUGGGAAUGGCAUUGGAUACUGGCGACCUAGAGUGCGGUAGAGGGUAGUGGAAUUCCCGGUGUAGCAGUGAAAUGCGUAGAUAUCGGGAGGAACAUCUGUGGCGAAGGCGACUACCUGGACCAGCACUGACACUGAGGCACGAAAGCGUGGGGAGCAAACAGGAUUAGAUACCCUGGUAGUCCACGCCCUAAACGAUGCGAACUGGAUGUUGGGUGCAACUUGGCACUCAGUAUCGAAGCUAACGCGUUAAGUUCGCCGCCUGGGAAGUACGGUCGCAAGACUG